AAUCAGGCAUUCACUCCUCCCACAUGUACUCAUCCUUCCACUUUCAUCUUGGAUCACAAUCUCGUAAAAAUGCACACUUCUCCAUUAUCUUGUUUUUUUAAACUCAAAAUAAAAAUAUUUUCAAAAUAAAGGCACACAUCCGCCGAACUGCACUGUGUUUGCUGCAAAUUAGCAUGCUAACACAAGGACCUCAGACUCAGUCUCAGUAAACAUUUUACCGGCUGAUCCUCUGUGUGCUUUGUGAAACCUCAGUUGACCUUUGAACCCUUGUGGCUUUCUGUUUUUAAUCUCUGUUUGCUCUGGUGUGAUUUGCCUGACUCAAGUACAGUAUGAGAAUGUGUGAAUGAGCGAAGCGAAGCCUGUGGGUUUUCUUGGCUCGCUCCUCAUGCUGAGAAAUCCAAGUGAGAGCUCGCCUUAUUCAGGAAGUGUUUUCGUUCUUUCUUUCUUUCUUUUUGGAUUACAUCUCUGGGCUGCUGGACUGUCUUUGUUUUCUCUGGCGUGACCAGAAUGGCCACGCAGCUCUCGAUGGCACAGACCAAAAAAAACAAAAAAGCCAACGUCAUGUUGAGUUUUCGGAAAGUGAACUCAGAGACCUCGUUCAUCUUUAAGAAGAGGAUGGAAAACACAUUCAGGAUUCAUCACGUGUCUUUAGUAGUGAUGGUGAGAUGAAGCCUCGUGAUGAGCUGAAGCUUUCCAUCCAACUGGUCGACUCAUGGUUCGAAGCAUUGUGAUGAUUCAUUUGCUCUACUGCGCCAUCAAGUGGACGAUUUAAGUGAAAUAGGCUCUGUGAUUAUAAUGAUGUGAUGUGUAAACCUCUAAACUGAAUAAAUAGAUUGUUUUCGUGGUUAUUUAUCCCAAA
Molecule: long non-coding RNA, 859 nt
Organism: Oreochromis aureus
Lineage: Eukaryota; Metazoa; Chordata; Actinopteri; Cichliformes; Cichlidae
Exons: 2
Source: RefSeq, a predicted model, not a curated record